UUGUUAGUGGCAGACGGGUGAGUAAUGCGUAGGAAUCUACCUAGUAGUACGGAAUAGCCAUUAGAAAUGGUGGGUAAUACUGUAUAAUCCCCGAGGGGGAAAGAUUUAUCGCUAUUAGAUGAGCCUACGUUAGAUUAGCUAGUUGGUGAGGUAAUGGCUUACCAAGGCUAUGAUCUAUAGCUGGUCUGAGAGGACGAUCAGCCACACUGGAACUGAGAUACGGUCCAGACUCCUACGGGAGGCAGCAGUGGGGAAUAUUGGACAAUGGGCGAAAGCCUGAUCCAGCUAUGCCGCGUGAGUGAAGAAGGCCUUCGGGUUGUAAAACUCUUUC
RNAcentral lists this ribosomal RNA (331 nucleotides) under Ehrlichia canis. RNAcentral describes it as "bacterial SSU rRNA". It matches the Rfam family "Bacterial small subunit ribosomal RNA", at positions 89 to 437 of the family's 1533-position model. The record is from RNAcentral. Lineage: Bacteria; Pseudomonadati; Pseudomonadota; Alphaproteobacteria; Rickettsiales; Anaplasmataceae.